Molecule: ribosomal RNA, 253 nt
Filed under: uncultured bacterium
Lineage: Bacteria
Description: partial 16S ribosomal RNA
Rfam family: Bacterial small subunit ribosomal RNA
Source: RNAcentral
UACGGGGGGGGCAAGCGUUGUUCGGAAUUAUUGGGCGUAAAGGGCUCGUAGGCGGUUUGUCGCGUCGGGAGUGAAAACACGGGGCUUAACCCCGUGCCUGCUUCCGAUACGGGCAGACUAGAGGUAUGCAGGGGAGAACGGAAUUCCUGGUGUAGCGGUGAAAUGCGCAGAUAUCAGGAGGAACACCGGUGGCGAAGGCGGUUCUCUGGGCAUUACCUGACGCUGAGGAGCGAAAGUGUGGGGAGCGAACAGG